This 371-nucleotide ribosomal RNA is filed under the name uncultured Streptococcus sp. Its description in RNAcentral is "bacterial SSU rRNA". It matches the Rfam family "Bacterial small subunit ribosomal RNA", at positions 1010 to 1382 of the family's 1533-position model. Lineage: Bacteria; Bacillati; Bacillota; Bacilli; Lactobacillales; Streptococcaceae. The record is from RNAcentral.
AGAAGUUACUUCGGUACAUCGGUGACAGGUGGUGCAUGGUUGUCGUCAGCUCGUGUCGUGAGAUGUUGGGUUAAGUCCCGCAACGAGCGCAACCCCUAUUGUUAGUUGCCAUCAUUCAGUUGGGCACUCUAGCGAGACUGCCGGUAAUAAACCGGAGGAAGGUGGGGAUGACGUCAAAUCAUCAUGCCCCUUAUGACCUGGGCUACACACGUGCUACAAUGGUUGGUACAACGAGUUGCGAGUCGGUGACGGCGAGCUAAUCUCUUAAAGCCAAUCUCAGUUCGGAUUGUAGGCUGCAACUCGCCUACAUGAAGUCGGAAUCGCUAGUAAUCGCGGAUCAGCACGCCGCGGUGAAUACGUUCCCGGGCCUU